CUUCAGGGAGCCGAUCCGUACCGGCCGGUCCGCGGGACGGUCCUGGCCGUACGUCGCCAGCAGCGCCUGCGCCUC
Non-coding RNA from Streptomyces tsukubensis NRRL18488, 75 nucleotides. NCBI's taxonomy places the organism in Bacteria, Bacillati, Actinomycetota, Actinomycetes, Kitasatosporales, Streptomycetaceae. The record is from Rfam.